RNAcentral lists this microRNA precursor (92 nucleotides) under Medicago truncatula (barrel medic). RNAcentral describes it as "miR399o stem-loop (mtr-MIR399o)". Its record names the gene mtr-MIR399o. The record is from miRBase by way of RNAcentral. Lineage: Eukaryota; Viridiplantae; Streptophyta; Magnoliopsida; Fabales; Fabaceae.
AGUCAUAGGGCAUGUCUCUAUUGGCAGGUGAUAUUUCAUUUGACUUAGAGGCUCUAGAAAUUCACUUGCCAAAGGAGAGCUGCCCUGCGAGU